This 202-nucleotide long non-coding RNA is filed under the name Mytilus galloprovincialis (Mediterranean mussel). The record is from RNAcentral. Lineage: Eukaryota; Metazoa; Mollusca; Bivalvia; Mytilida; Mytilidae.
GCCAUAUUUCAGCUUUCUGACAUAUAACACUGUCAAAACUCGAGAGACGCGUACUACGGGACUUUAGCAAACGACGUAGAUAUUUCACUCAAUUUCAUUGUAUUUUUAUCACAUAAAACAUAGAAGAUGUCCACCCUCUGUCCCAACGACAUCAUAUAUAUCUAUAGACUUUUUUACUUCUUGUCAUUAGCUGUGAUAUUUC